CCUACGGGUGACAGCAGUGAGGAAUAUUGGUCAAUGGACGAGAGUCUGAACCAGCCAAGUAGCGUGAAGGAUGACUGCCCUAUGGGUUGUAAACUUCUUUUAUAUGGGAAUAAAAUGUUCCACGUGUGGGAUUUUGUAUGUACCAUAUGAAUAAGGAUCGGCUAACUCCGUGCCAGCAGCCGCGGUAAUACGGAGGAUCCGCGCGUUAUCCGGAUUUAUUGGGUUUAAAGGGAGCGUAGGUGGGUUGUUAAGUCAGUUGUGAAAGUUUGCGGCUCAACCGUAAAAUUGCAGUUGAAACUGGCAGUCUUGAGUACAGUAGAGGUGGGCGGAAUUCGUGGUGUAGCGGUGAAAUGCUUAGAUAUCACGAAGAACUCCGAUUGCGAAGGCAGUUCACUGGACUGCAACUGACACUGAGGCUCGAAAGUGUGGGUAUCAAACAGGAUUAGAUACCCUUGUAGUC
This 460-nucleotide ribosomal RNA is filed under the name uncultured bacterium. RNAcentral's name for it is "partial 16S ribosomal RNA". It matches the Rfam family "Bacterial small subunit ribosomal RNA", at positions 338 to 795 of the family's 1533-position model. The record is from RNAcentral.